This 211-nucleotide ribosomal RNA is filed under the name uncultured Staphylococcus sp. Its description in RNAcentral is "partial 16S ribosomal RNA". It matches the Rfam family "Bacterial small subunit ribosomal RNA", at positions 151 to 354 of the family's 1533-position model. The record is from RNAcentral. Lineage: Bacteria; Bacillati; Bacillota; Bacilli; Caryophanales; Staphylococcaceae.
GGGAAACCGGAGCUAAUACCGGAUAAUAUUUCGAACCGCAUGGUUCGAUAGUGAAAGAUGGUUUUGCUAUCACUUAUAGAUGGACCUGCGCCGUAUUAGCUAGUUGGUAAGGUAACGGCUUACCAAGGCGACGAUACGUAGCCGACCUGAGAGGGUGAUCGGCCACACUGGAACUGAGACACGGUCCAGACUCCUACGGGAGGCAGCAGGC